UACAUGGGGUGCAAACGUUGCUCGGAAUUAUUGGGCGUAAAGCGCACGUAGGUGGUCUGUUAUGUCAGAUGUGAAAGCCCUCGGCUUAACUGAGGAAGUGCACCUGAAACUGGCAGGCUUGAGUACGAAAGAGGUCGCGGAAUUCCCGGUGUAGAGGUGAAAUGCGUAGAUAUCGGGAGGAACACCAGUGGCGAAGGCGACUUCCUGGCCUGUUCUUGACGCUG
Molecule: ribosomal RNA, 224 nt
Filed under: uncultured bacterium
Lineage: Bacteria
Description: partial 16S ribosomal RNA
Rfam family: Bacterial small subunit ribosomal RNA
Source: RNAcentral